AGAGUUUGAUCCUGGCUCAGAUUGAACGCUGGCGGCAUGCCUUACACAUGCAAGUCGAACGGCAGCACGGGAGUAAUCCUGGUGGCGAGUGGCGAACGGGUGAGUAAUAUAUCGGAACGUGCCCAGUCGUGGGGGAUAACGCAGCGAAAGCUGUGCUAAUACCGCAUACGAUCUCUGGAUGAAAGCGGGGGACUCGCAAGGGCCUCGCGCGAUUGGAGCGGCCGAUAUCAGAUUAGCUAGUUGGCGGGGUAAAGGCCCACCAAGGCGACGAUCUGUAGCUGGUCUGAGAGGACGACCAGCCACACUGGAACUGAGACACGGUCCAGACUCCUACGGGAGGCAGCAGUGGGGAAUUUUGGACAAUGGGCGCAAGCCUGAUCCAGCAAUGCCGCGUGCAGGAUGAAGGCCUUCGGGUUGUAAACUGCUUUUGUACGGAACGAAACGGUUGUCUCUAAUAAAGACGGCUAAUGACGGUACCGUAAGAAUAAGCACCGGCUAACUACGUGCCAGCAGCCGCGGUAAUUCCAGCUCCAAUAGCGUAUAUUAAAAUUGUUGCAGUUAAAAAGCUCGUAGUUGGAUUUCUGGUACGGCGCACUUGGCCCGCCACGGUUACGUGGUUGUGUGCCGGUGUGCGCCUGCCAUCCAUCUGGAGAACGGCAUCGCCCUUUACUGGGUGGGUGUCGGUAUCCAGAUCUUUUACUUUGGAAAAAUUAGAGUGUUUAAAGCAGGCUUGUGCUGUGAAUACAUUAGCAUGGAAUAAUAAUUUAGGACUUUGGUCUUAUUUUGUUGGUUUCUAGGACUAAAGUAAUGAUUGAUAGGGACAGUUGGGGGUGCUAGUAUUCAGCGGCCAGAGGUGAAAUUCUUGGAUUCGCUGAAGACUAACUUAUGCGAAAGCAUUCACCAAGGAUGUCUUCUUUAAU
This 920-nucleotide ribosomal RNA is filed under the name metagenome. RNAcentral describes it as "bacterial SSU rRNA". It matches the Rfam family "Bacterial small subunit ribosomal RNA", at positions 8 to 747 of the family's 1533-position model. The record is from RNAcentral.